ACGGGGAGGAGCCCAGAGCCUGAAUCAGUGUGUGUGUUAGUGGAAGCGUCUGGAAAGGCGCGCGAUACAGGGUGACAGCCCCGUACACAAAAAUGCACAUAUUGUGAGCUCGAUGAGUAGGGCGGGACACGUGGUAUCCUGUCUGAAUAUGGGGGGACCAUCCUCCAAGGCUAAAUACUCCUGACUGACCGAUAGUGAACCAGUACCGUGAGGGAAAGGCGAAAAGAACCCCGGCGAGGGGAGUGAAAAAGAACCUGAAACCGUGUACGUACAAGCAGUGGGAGCCUCUUUAUGGGGUGACUGCGUACCUUUUGUAUAAUGGGUCAGCGACUUAUAUUCUGUAGCAAGGUUAACCGAAUAGGGGAGCCGAAGGGAAACCGAGUCUUAACUGGGCGUUAAGUUGCAGGGUAUAGACCCGAAACCCGGUGAUCUAGCCAUGGGCAGGUUGAAGGUUGGGUAACACUAACUGGAGGACCGAACCGACUAAUGUUGAAAAAUUAGCGGAUGACUUGUGGCUGGGGGUGAAAGGCCAAUCAAACCGGGAGAUAGCUGGUUCUCCCCGAAAGCUAUUUAGGUAGCGCCUCGUGAAUUCAUCUCCGGGGGUAGAGCACUGUUUCGGCAAGGGGGUCAUCCCGACUUACCAACCCGAUGCAAACUG
RNAcentral lists this ribosomal RNA (658 nucleotides) under Escherichia coli. RNAcentral describes it as "partial 23S ribosomal RNA". It matches the Rfam family "Bacterial large subunit ribosomal RNA", at positions 292 to 956 of the family's 2925-position model. The record is from RNAcentral. Lineage: Bacteria; Pseudomonadati; Pseudomonadota; Gammaproteobacteria; Enterobacterales; Enterobacteriaceae.